GACGAACGCUGGCGGUGUGCUUAACACAUGCAAGUCGAACGGGCCUUGUCCCCUUUUUUUUUGGGGGUGGGGUUAGUGGCGAACGGGUGAGUAACACGUGAGUAACCUGCCCCUCACUUCUGGAUAACCGCUUGAAAGGGUGGCUAAUACGGGGUGUUCUGGCCUGCUCGCAUGGGUGGGUUUGGAAAGAUUCGACCGGUUUUGGUUGUUUUGGUGGGGGAUGGGCUCGCGGCCUAUCAGCUUGUUGGUGGGGUGAUGGCCUGCCAAGGCUUUGACGGGUAGCCGGCCUGAGAGGGUGGGCGGUCACACUGGGACUGAGACACGGCCCAGACUCCUACGGGAGGCAGCAGUGGGGAAUAUUGCACAAUGGGCGCAAGCCUGAUGCAGCGACGCCGCGUGAGGGAUGGAGGCCUUCGGGUUGUGAACCUCUUUCGCCAGUGAAGAAGGUCCUGCUCUUUGUGGUGGGGUUGACGGUAGCUGGGUUAAUGAAGCGCCGGCUAACUACGUG
RNAcentral lists this ribosomal RNA (508 nucleotides) under uncultured bacterium. Its description in RNAcentral is "partial 16S ribosomal RNA". It matches the Rfam family "Bacterial small subunit ribosomal RNA", at positions 28 to 507 of the family's 1533-position model. The record is from RNAcentral.